This 331-nucleotide ribosomal RNA is filed under the name uncultured eukaryote. RNAcentral's name for it is "partial 18S ribosomal RNA". It matches the Rfam family "Eukaryotic small subunit ribosomal RNA", at positions 1470 to 1796 of the family's 1831-position model. The record is from RNAcentral.
CCCUUAGAUGUUCUGGGCCGCACGCGCGCUACACUGUUCGACGCAGCGAGUCUUAACCUUGACCGAAAGGUUUGGGUAAUCUUCAGCAAAGUCGAACGUGAUGGGGAUCGAUCAUUGCAAUUAUUGAUCGUGAACGAGGAAUUCCUAGUAAGUGCAAGUCAUCAGCUUGCGCUGAUUACGUCCCUGCCCUUUGUACACACCGCCCGUCGCUACUACCGAUUGAAUGGUUUAGUGAGAUCUCUGGAUUGACGCUGGCUAGGGGGCGACCCUUGGCCAGGCUGUCGAGAAACUGCUCAAACUUGAUCAUUUUGAGGAAGUAAAAGUCGUAACA